Molecule: long non-coding RNA, 166 nt
Organism: Perognathus longimembris pacificus (Pacific pocket mouse)
Lineage: Eukaryota; Metazoa; Chordata; Mammalia; Rodentia; Heteromyidae
Exons: 3
Source: RefSeq, a predicted model, not a curated record
CUUCAAGGUCAAGUUUUCAGUUUUCCCUGAAAGAAAGUAAAUAAUAAUUGUCUUGGGCAUUUAUGAUUAUUGCUUUUUCCAAUUUUAUUACAGUAUAUCUCCUCUGGAAAACAUAGCACUUAACAUUGAGUGGCUAUCACAUCCUAUGGAGACCUUCUAUCUUUGG